UCCCUUUGGCUCAGUUGGUAGAGCAUGGUGUGUGCAACGCCAGGAUUAUGGGUUCGAUUCCCAUGGGAG
Molecule: transfer RNA, 69 nt
Filed under: Salmo salar (Atlantic salmon)
Lineage: Eukaryota; Metazoa; Chordata; Actinopteri; Salmoniformes; Salmonidae
Rfam family: tRNA
About the family: Transfer RNA (tRNA) molecules are approximately 80 nucleotides in length. Their secondary structure includes four short double-helical elements and three loops (D, anti-codon, and T loops).
Source: Rfam by way of RNAcentral